Chelonoidis abingdonii (Abingdon island giant tortoise) is the source of this 103-nucleotide non-coding RNA. Lineage: Eukaryota; Metazoa; Chordata; Testudines; Testudinidae. The record is from RefSeq and is a predicted model, not a curated record.
AAACUGUUAAAUCCUAAGCUGACGGUGUCAAAUUUCAAGACUGAACGAAGCUCAGCAGUUCUCUUUGAAGUCUGGCCUGAAGUUUUGCUGGCAGGAUGGCAAC